Molecule: ribosomal RNA, 465 nt
Filed under: Vreelandella stevensii
Lineage: Bacteria; Pseudomonadati; Pseudomonadota; Gammaproteobacteria; Oceanospirillales; Halomonadaceae
Description: partial 16S ribosomal RNA
Rfam family: Bacterial small subunit ribosomal RNA
Source: RNAcentral
CCUACGGGUGGCAGCAGUGGGGAAUAUUGGACAAUGGGGGGAACCCUGAUCCAGCCAUGCCGCGUGUGUGAAGAAGGCCCUCGGGUUGUAAAGCACUUUCAGUGAGGAAGAACGCCUGGUGGUUAAUACCCAUCAGGAAAGACAUCACUCACAGAAGAAGCACCGGCUAACUCCGUGCCAGCAGCCGCGGUAAUACGGAGGGUGCGAGCGUUAAUCGGAAUUACUGGGCGUAAAGCGCGCGUAGGCGGCUUGAUAAGCCGGUUGUGAAAGCCCCGGGCUCAACCUGGGAACGGCAUCCGGAACUGUCAAGCUAGAGUGCAGGAGAGGAAGGUAGAAUUCCCGGUGUAGCGGUGAAAUGCGUAGAGAUCGGGAGGAAUACCAGUGGCGAAGGCGGCCUUCUGGACUGACACUGACACUGAGGUGCGAAAGCGUGGGUAGCAAACAGGAUUAGAUACCCCAGUAGUC